UGAGCAGGCACCCAGCGUGUACUUGUCGGUCUGUUCGCCGCACAUCCGCUUCACCUCGUCGCUGUCCCAGCCGUCUGGGUAGAUCAUGCAGCCCAGAAUCAGGCUUGUACCUGGAACAGGAGGCGAGACAGAUGGCUGCAGUGUUAAUAGACUGGGUUGAACUGGAUGGGAUCUCUCCCAAAGGCUUUUAGUUGAAGGAAACGCACAAGAUCAAGGAGACAGCAGGGUUCAGGACAUGGACCACCUACUGCUCCGAAUGAAAUGUUAAUUUUGGAUGGAUGGAGGGUCAUGAUUAUAUCACCACCUUUGACGUCUGAGGAACAUGCCAGUGAUUCGACCAAAGAACCGUUUCCAGGGCAACCGGCAAGCUUGAAAAGGGAGCAAGAGCAUUAAUGGGCAGCUGAGGUGACUCUGAACAUUACCAAAACAACACACAUUCCUUCUCUGCCUCGCUUUCCUUCUCUCUCCACGCAGGAGCUCGCGGCCUCUGAUCUGUGGCCUUUUUAGGAGAUGUUGAGUGUAAACGCCAAAGUGCACAACAACACAGCCUACUCCUCUCUGCCGUUUUUUCUCGGCGGAUUUAUAAGUGUGUCCAGAGGGACUCAGAGCCUCUCACAGCUCACACGUCCUAACUCCCCCCCCUGCAAAGUUUAUCAAAUAACAACCCUCUCUGCGCUGCCACACAACCUCCGGAGCCUUUUGAUGUUCUCUCCAGCUCAGAACUAAUUUGUAUUCAGCGUAUACCUCCGGUGUUUCGCUUUGAGUCCUCCCCACCAACAUGUUUCAAAGUGUUAACAUUGUUAGUCAUGUUUUCCACACAGCAAGGUGCACCUUCUCAUUUGCAGGUCAAUACAGCAUGUUGUAAUUAUUGAUGGAUGAUAUGUGCAAUUAGACUCUACCUUGGAGGUGAUCUGUGGAAGUAGAGAGCUUGUGGCUUCGCGCACAGAUUUUUGACCCUGGUUUCAGAAAGCUUUACAGCCCCCUUUACUCUGAUAUCCUUAAAUAAAAUCUUGCAUAGCCAUUUGCCUUUAGAAUAAUCUGUGGGUGUUUUUGUAAAUGUUUUUUCUCCUCAAAAUCGAGCAACAGUAAACAACAACAACAAUAAA
Girardinichthys multiradiatus is the source of this 1106-nucleotide long non-coding RNA. RefSeq lists it as uncharacterized. The transcript has 4 exons. The record is from RefSeq and is a predicted model, not a curated record. Lineage: Eukaryota; Metazoa; Chordata; Actinopteri; Cyprinodontiformes; Goodeidae.